This 253-nucleotide ribosomal RNA is filed under the name uncultured bacterium. RNAcentral's name for it is "partial 16S ribosomal RNA". It matches the Rfam family "Bacterial small subunit ribosomal RNA", at positions 524 to 776 of the family's 1533-position model. The record is from RNAcentral.
UACGUAGGCAGCAAGCGUUGUUCGGAGUUACUGGGCGUAAAGCGUGUGUAGGCGGAGUUCUAAGUACCUUGUGAAAUCCCACGGCUCAACCGUGGAACUGCUUGGUAUACUGGUUCUCUUGGGUCAUCUAGGGGCGAGCGGAACAAACGGUGGAGCGGUGAAAUGCGUAGAUAUCAUUUGGAACGCCAAUGGUGAAAACAGCUCGCUGGGGAUGUACCGACGCUGAGACACGAAAGCCAGGGGAGCGAACGGG